This 138-nucleotide ribosomal RNA is filed under the name uncultured bacterium. Its description in RNAcentral is "partial 16S ribosomal RNA". It matches the Rfam family "Bacterial small subunit ribosomal RNA", at positions 354 to 509 of the family's 1533-position model. The record is from RNAcentral.
UGGGGGAAUAUUGCACAAUGGGCGAAAGCCUGAUGCAGCGACGCCGCGUGAAGGAUGAAGUAUUUCGGUAUGUAAACUUCUAUCAGCAGGGAAGAAAAUGACGGUACCUGACUAAGAAGCCCCGGCUAACUACGUGCC